This is a long non-coding RNA of Pseudophryne corroboree (corroboree frog), 800 nucleotides long. RefSeq lists it as uncharacterized. Lineage: Eukaryota; Metazoa; Chordata; Amphibia; Anura; Myobatrachidae. The transcript is spliced from 3 exons. The record is from RefSeq and is a predicted model, not a curated record.
GAAGAGACAUCUCCCUGUUUUAGAUAAAACUGUGAACUACUAAUUGAACAUACAUUUUGGGGAAUUAAUCAUUCAUGUUAAACAGUGCACUGUAUUUUCCACGACCAGCGCACUUCCCAACAGCCGCCCAACUCUCAGCACCGGAGCUCACCUCGGGCAUUGCUAGGCGCUUCUUGACAUCAUAACAUGGAGCCGCACGGCGUUCACAAUGGGCUCACUGUUGGAUUUGCACUUCGUUUGGCGGGCUCUUCUACUAUAUGGUUGCUGUAACAAUAAAACCUGAAUGGAUGUAAGAUUGCUGGAAGCACUAAUAGACUGCUGUGAUAAAAGUAUACCAGAGUAAUAUAGUGAAUUUGUAGAUUCCAUGGACAUUUUUUGUCUGUAAGUAGUAUUGACAGAUCAAACCACAGGGAAAAGAAGCCACAUCCAAUAUUCCAAGACAAAGACAGAAGAGUUUAACCAUCAGGAUGAAGUAAAUGAUCAUGCAGAUGCUGGAUUCAGAUUCAUGCAGAGCAUUCAGCAUGGGUUGGUAACACUUCAGAGCAGCAUCCCUGAUUGGCAAUGGAUUUUUUCUACAGCGAAAAUACAUAGGAAACAUGUUUGCUCCUUAUUGGCAUCAAAAGAUGAGGAACGUCAGAAACAGCAUCCUAAAUUCAAGAAUAGUAAAUGAAUACAAGUGUACUUAUUUUACAAAACUAAGUAUGCUCACACAUAUUAAAGAAACAAGCCUGAGAAAUAGCCAUGGAACAUACUCAACCACAUAGCUGCCAUAUAAGAAAUACCUAUACAAUUAAAAUAAA